Molecule: transfer RNA, 78 nt
Filed under: Candidatus Bathyarchaeota archaeon
Lineage: Archaea; Thermoproteati; Candidatus Bathyarchaeota
Also listed under: 1 other name
Description: tRNA-Pro
Rfam family: tRNA
About the family: Transfer RNA (tRNA) molecules are approximately 80 nucleotides in length. Their secondary structure includes four short double-helical elements and three loops (D, anti-codon, and T loops).
Source: RNAcentral
GGGGCUGUCGGCUAGCAUGGUCUAGGCUCCGAGACUUGGGCUCUCGGGACCCCGGUUCGAAUCCGGGCAGCCCCACCA